ACGAUAUUUAACGACAAAUAACAUACAUUUUACUAAAGAGGUAAGGAAAAGGUAGUGUUUUAUGUCACACGAUUUCGCCAAAUUUGUGAAGAUUCCAAGCAAGAGAAAGGGUUUAAACAUAGGUUUUGAUUCACCUCAUGAAUUAUACUGAUGUCAUGUUCCCCCUUUAUAUUUGAAUGACUUUGUCACAGCUCUAAACAGUAAGACCAUUAACAUUACAAUACAUCCUAACUGGCACCCCAAAAUUACUCUUAUGUAAUCAACUGUUUCAUCAACAAGAAGCAUAAAAUAAAGAGCUCCGCCAUUUUUUAUCACCCGUCCUAUCGAACCUUUUCUAAAGAUACUGUCCUGGAAAACAAAUGUUUUGCCUCAAGUAUGCACUUCCACACAUUUUCGGGCAAUACUCUGGGCGUUCAUGUAGCUUCAUGGCUCCAUGGUGGCUCUACACUUGGCAUGGAGACUCCCAUGGUGGUGGUUCAGUCUGGAUGGGCUUGGUAGGCGUGGUGGAUAGUGGUGGUUCAGUCUGGGUGGGCUUGGUAGGUGUGGUGGAUAGUGGUGGUUCAGUCUGGGUGGGCUUGGUAGGUGUGGUGGAUAGUGGUGGUUCAGUCUGGAUGGGCUUGGUAGGUGUGGUGGAUAGUGGUGGUUCAGUCUGGAUGGACUUUGUAGGCUUGGUGGAUAGUGGUGGUUCAGUCUGGAUGGACUUGGUAGGUAUGGUGGAUCGUGGUGGUUCAGUCUGGAUGGACUUGGUAGGUAUGGUGGAUCGUGGUGGUUCAGUCUGGAUGGACUUGGUAGGUAUGGUGGAUAGUGGUGGUUCAGUCUGGAUGGGCUUGGUAGGUGUGGUGGAUAGUGGUGGUUCAGUCUGGAUGGACUUGGUAGGCGUGGUGGAUAGUGGUGGUUCAGUCUGGAUGGGCUUGGUAG
This 918-nucleotide long non-coding RNA is filed under the name Salmo salar (Atlantic salmon). RNAcentral describes it as "lncRNA (ENSSSAG00000086174.1)". Lineage: Eukaryota; Metazoa; Chordata; Actinopteri; Salmoniformes; Salmonidae. The record is from RNAcentral.